AGCGAGCAGUUUCUACUUCUGUAUACAGUUAUAUUUCAUGUAAUGUUCGUCUAUUAUUAAACCGUGUGAAUAUUCUAGGACCACUGCGAUUGAAGGCUUAGAGAAAUAAACGUUCGGAACCUUAUUAUCAUCCUUGUGUUAUGGAGAGCGUUGAGAGAAGGAAGCCUUACAAUCCUAUCCAGAGAAAUACCACUCGGUA
This 199-nucleotide long non-coding RNA is filed under the name Eurytemora carolleeae. RNAcentral's name for it is "uncharacterized LOC111703257". The record is from RNAcentral. Lineage: Eukaryota; Metazoa; Arthropoda; Copepoda; Calanoida; Temoridae.